This 492-nucleotide ribosomal RNA is filed under the name uncultured bacterium. RNAcentral's name for it is "partial 16S ribosomal RNA". It matches the Rfam family "Bacterial small subunit ribosomal RNA", at positions 29 to 507 of the family's 1533-position model. The record is from RNAcentral.
AGUGAACGCUGGCGGUAGGCCCAACACAUGCAAGUCGAACGGCAGCACAGUAAGAGCUUGCUCUUACGGGUGGCGAGUGGCGGACGGGUGAGGAAUACAUCGGAAUCUACUUUUUCGUGGGGGAUAACGUAGGGAAACUUACGCUAAUACCGCAUACGACCUACGGGUGAAAGCAGGGGAUCUUCGGACCUUGCGCGAUUGAAUGAGCCGAUGUCGGAUUAGCUAGUUGGCGGGGUAAAGGCCCACCAAGGCGACGAUCCGUAGCUGGUCUGAGAGGAUGAUCAGCCACACUGGAACUGAGACACGGUCCAGACUCCUACGGGAGGCAGCAGUGGGGAAUAUUGGACAAUGGGCGCAAGCCUGAUCCAGACAUACCGCGUGGGUGAAGAAGGCCUUCGGGUUGUAAAGCCCUUUUGUUGGGAAAGAAAAGCAGCAGGUUAAUACCCCGCUGUUCUGACGGUACCCAAAGAAUAAGCACCGGCUAACUUCGUG